This 466-nucleotide ribosomal RNA is filed under the name uncultured bacterium. RNAcentral describes it as "partial 16S ribosomal RNA". It matches the Rfam family "Bacterial small subunit ribosomal RNA", at positions 28 to 507 of the family's 1533-position model. The record is from RNAcentral.
GAUGAACGCUGGCGGCGUGCUUAACACAUGCAAGUCGAACGGAAAGGCCCAAGCUUGCUUGGGUACUCGAGUGGCGAACGGGUGAGUAACACGUGGGUGAUCUGCCCUGCACUUCGGGAUAAGCCUGGGAAACUGGGUCUAAUACCGGAUAGGACCACAUUUUGGAUGGUGUGGUGGAAAGUUUUUCGGUGUGGGAUGAGCUCGCGGCCUAUCAGCUUGUUGGUGGGGUAAUGGCCUACCAAGGCGUCGACGGGUAGCCGGCCUGAGAGGGCGUACGGCCACAUUGGGACUGAGAUACGGCCCAGACUCCUACGGGAGGCAGCAGUGGGGAAUAUUGCACAAUGGGCGCAAGCCGGAUGCAGCGACGCCGCGUGGGGGAUGACGGCCUUCGGGUUGUAAACUCCUUUCGCUAGGGACGAAGCGUUAUGUGACGGUACCUGGAGAAGAAGCACCGGCUAACUACGUG